Molecule: long non-coding RNA, 1478 nt
Filed under: Fukomys damarensis (Damara mole-rat)
Lineage: Eukaryota; Metazoa; Chordata; Mammalia; Rodentia; Bathyergidae
Description: lncRNA (ENSFDAG00000033280.1)
Source: RNAcentral
CUGCCACAGCAGCCCUGUGCGGGUGGAGCUCAGCUUCAGGUCUAGCCUUGGGACGGGGAGCAAAUUAGUCUGUCUCUCUCGCUAAAUGUGGUGGACACACCUGUAAUUCCAGAGGCUGUGGCAGGAAGAUCGCAAGUUUGAGCCCAGCCUGGACAACUUAGCUACUUAGCAAGACCCUGUCACCAAAAAGGGGGACAAGGGAUGCUGGGGAUGUAGCUCACCAAGAAGCCCCAGGCUCAAUCCCCAGCAUCACACACACGCACAAACACACACGCGUGCAGAACGAGUUAGGACGCAGGCUAGGGCGGCAGGGCAGCAGCCUGGGUCCCGGGCUCCCACACAGGGCCCCGUGCCUCACGCCACGCUGCUUCCCGUCCUUCCCGGGGGGUUCACGGGCGCCCAACACCUUCCUCUCGCCUGUGUGGCUGCAAACCCCGCAGCUCCGUUUGCACGCGUGCGCACGCUGACGCCCUUCCGGCUGACCCUAAAACCCGACACUCGCGCCAGAUUCUGCGACCCUCGAGGAAACAGAGGAGUGACAGGCACAACAGCGAGACGAUAACCAAGUGUUCCUGCGGAGUUUGCCAGCAGGCGCUGGCACUGGGCCGGGAGCUCCAGCCCUCAGUCUGUUCACCAACCUGCUCCUCUUCCUCCUCCAAGCCGCCCCGGAAGCCAUUUCCUCUGGGAAGUGUUCCCAGAUUUGACUUCGAUGCCUGCUCGCCUCCUGAUGCAUGUGAACAUGAGCGUGCCCCGUCCCUGCUACUCACAUCUGUGUCACUCACCUGAGGCGCUGUAACGCGGCGGUCUCGUUAUCCGAAGGCGGAUUUGCUCGCCGCGUCCUUUAGUUCCUCCAAAAGGAGAAGACUGUCCGUCCACCCCUUGGCUUCAAAUCCUGUGUCCGUAUCCCGCGUCCCUUCAGCUUCAGCUCCUUUGACCAAUCCCGGCUUUGCGGAAUCCCUUUACCUGUGAAGGACAAUUCUUUGAUUCUUUUUUUCUUUCUUUCUUAAAUCCCAACUGCUAGGUAGACACACAAGUCCUUUUUUCUUUCUUGAACUUUCUGUUGACCCUGACCUUUUACCGUCUUAUGAUAGCAUUGUUUAAGAAGGGCCCAGAACACAAGAAUUUGAACAGCACAGCAAAGCCCUUGCUCUCCUGGGCUCCGGGUCAGCAUAUUUAUCUCUGGUUAUUCCCAAUUCUCUGUCUUUUUUUUUGGUAGCAGGGAUCGAACUCAGGUCCUUGUGCUUGCGAGGCAGGCGGCAGAACCACUGAGCUAGAUGCCCAGCCCCUCCAACACUCUGCCUUAGUGCGUCAUCGUCCUGCGGUUGUAAAGAUCACCUGGCAGGAUCUGGUGAGGAGGGGUAGGAGGGUCUCUGCUCCUACACAGAACCGCCAAGACUUCUAAAACUUUAACCUGCCUCCUUCUGCUCCCUACUGGGUAAGUAAGUUAAUAACCGACAUGUUUGUUGUCCUCUGACCGG